AGAUUGAACGCUGGCGGCAGGCCUAACACAUGCAAGUCGAGCGGUAGAGAGGUGCUUGCACCUCUUGAGAGCGGCGGACGGGUGAGUAAUGCCUAGGAAUCUGCCUAGUGGUGGGGGAUAACGUUCGGAAACGGACGCUAAUACCGCAUACGUCCUACGGGAGAAAGCGGGGGACCUUCGGGCCUCGCGCCAUUAGAUGAGCCUAGGUCGGAUUAGCUAGUUGGUGAGGUAAUGGCUCACCAAGGCGACGAUCCGUAACUGGUCUGAGAGGAUGAUCAGUCACACUGGAACUGAGACACGGUCCAGACUCCGACGGGAGCAG
Molecule: ribosomal RNA, 322 nt
Filed under: uncultured soil bacterium
Lineage: Bacteria
Description: bacterial SSU rRNA
Rfam family: Bacterial small subunit ribosomal RNA
Source: RNAcentral